GAUGAACGCUAGCGAUAGGCCUUACACAUGCAAGUCGAGGGGCAGCGCGAGAAAGUAGCAAUACCUUCUUGGCGGCGACCGGCGGAUGGGUGAGUAACGCGUAUGCAACCUACCUACUACUUUGGGAUAGCUCGUUGAAAGACGAAUUAAUACCUUAUAAUACAGGGACUCCGCAUGGAGAUAUUUGUUAAAGAUUUAUUGGUAGUAGAUGGGCAUGCGUUCCAUUAGUUAGUUGGUGAGGUAACGGCUCACCAAGACAACGAUGGAUAGGGGAACUGAGAGGUUUGUCCCCCACACUGGAACUGAGACACGGUCCAG
This 318-nucleotide ribosomal RNA is filed under the name uncultured bacterium. RNAcentral describes it as "bacterial SSU rRNA". It matches the Rfam family "Bacterial small subunit ribosomal RNA", at positions 28 to 334 of the family's 1533-position model. The record is from RNAcentral.